Molecule: ribosomal RNA, 580 nt
Filed under: Melampsora pinitorqua
Lineage: Eukaryota; Fungi; Basidiomycota; Pucciniomycetes; Pucciniales; Melampsoraceae
Description: eukaryotic LSU rRNA
Rfam family: Eukaryotic large subunit ribosomal RNA
Source: RNAcentral
GUUUGGGAAUGCAGCUCAAAGUGGGUGGUAAAUUCCAUCUAAGGCUAAAUAUAAGUGAGAGACCGAUAGCAAACAAGUACCGUGAGGGAAAGAUGAAAAGAACUUUGAAAAUAGAGUUAACAGUACGUGAAAUUGCUGAAAGGGAAACGUUUGAAGUUAGUAUUGUAUUCGUUGGAUCAGCUUCGCAAGGAGUGUAUUCCGAUGAUAAGCAAGUCAACAUCAGUCUAUGAGUGUUGGAGAAGGGUUUUGAGAAUGUAGCAAUUUAAUUGUGUUAUAGCUUGAGACUUGGAUACGACGCUCUUGAUUGAGGAACGCGUAGUAAGCUUUGAGCAGGUUCGAAAGGAUCUCCUUACUAUGGAUGUUGGUGAAAUAACUUUAAGCGACCCGUCUUGAAACACGGACCAAGGAGUCUAACAUGCUUGCGAGUAUUAGGGCGUUGAAACCCGAAUGCGUAAUGAAAGUAAUUUCAGAUGUGAUCCGCAAGGUGCAACAUCGACCGGUCCUGAUUAUUUAUAUGACGGUACUGAGUAAGAGCAAGUAUGUUAGGACCCGAAAGAUGGUGAACUAUGCCUGGAUAGGG